RNAcentral lists this signal recognition particle RNA (304 nucleotides) under Cicer arietinum (chickpea). RNAcentral's name for it is "Plant signal recognition particle RNA". It matches the Rfam family "Plant signal recognition particle RNA". The record is from Rfam by way of RNAcentral. Lineage: Eukaryota; Viridiplantae; Streptophyta; Magnoliopsida; Fabales; Fabaceae.
GCCGAGCUGAGUUACUACAGCUUGUGACCCGAGUGGGGGCAAUAGUGUGGUGGAACAUGGCUUUGGUUUACCAGGUCGGUCUGUUGGCUGCAACAAUCUGGCCUGCCCACUCCAAGUUGAGAGAUGGGCCAUGGGGUUUGGGCGGAAGGCUUGGAUCUCCUGGUCACUAGAAAGGAAGGAACCGCAUGAGGCUGGCUUCACAGAGCAGUGAAUACCUCCUGCUCUUGACAGUGGAGGGAUUACAGGCUGCUGCAUUCUCGGGCCACAUAGCCUGUUGAGCCUAGCCCAUUGAACCAUCACUUUU